GACGAACGCUGGCGGCGUGCCUAAUACAUGCAAGUGGGACGCAAGGGAACACACUGUGCUUGCACACCGUGUUUUCUUGAGUCGCGAACGGGUGAGUAACGCGUAGGUAACCUGCCUAUUAGCGGGGGAUAACUAUUGGAAACGAUAGCUAAUACCGCAUAAUAUUAAUUAUUGCAUGAUAAUUGAUUGAAAGAUGCAAGCGCAUCACUAGUAGAUGGACCUGCGUUGUAUUAGCUAGUUGGUAAGGUAAGAGCUUACCAAGGCGACGAUACAUAGCCGACCUGAGAGGGUGAUCGGCCACACUGGGACUGAGACACGGCCCAGACUCCUACGGGAGGCAGCAGUAGGGAAUCUUCGGCAAUGGACGAAGGUCUGACCGAGCAACGCCGCGUGAGUGAAGAAGGUUUUCGGACCGUAAAGCUCUGUUGUAAGUCAAGAACGUGUGUGAGAGUGGAAAGUUCACACAGGAC
RNAcentral lists this ribosomal RNA (470 nucleotides) under Streptococcus mutans. RNAcentral's name for it is "bacterial SSU rRNA". It matches the Rfam family "Bacterial small subunit ribosomal RNA", at positions 28 to 473 of the family's 1533-position model. Lineage: Bacteria; Bacillati; Bacillota; Bacilli; Lactobacillales; Streptococcaceae. The record is from RNAcentral.